CUGCUGCCUUCCGUAGGAGUCUGGGCCGUGUCUCAGUCCCAAUGUGGCCGGCCAACCUCUCAGUCCGGCUACUGAUCGUCGCCUUGGUGGGCCGUUACCCCGCCAACUAGCUAAUCAGACGCGAGUCCAUCUCAGAGCGAUAAAUCUUUGGCAGUCAGAGCCAUGCGACUCAACUGCAUCAUGCGGUAUUAGCAGCUGUUCCAACUGUUACUUCCCCACUCCAAGGCCAGGUUACU
This 236-nucleotide ribosomal RNA is filed under the name uncultured bacterium. Its description in RNAcentral is "partial 16S ribosomal RNA". The record is from RNAcentral.